AAACUCUACAAUGCAGGAGACUGCGAUAGGGGGACAUCGAGUGGCAUCCACCUUGGGUGCCUGUCCCACCGUACGGUGGUAGCAAGGGCCGGCAAGACCGGUGCCAGCCGCCGCGGUAAUACCGGCGGCUCGAGUGGUGGCCGAUAUUAUUGAGUCUGAAGGGUCCGUAGCCGGUUUGGUCAGUCCUCCGGGAAAUCUGAUAGCUCAACUAUUAGGCUUCGGGGGAUACUGCCAGACUUGGAACCGGGAGAGGUAAGAGGUACUACAGGGGUAGGAGUGAAAUCUUGUAAUCCCUGUGGGACCACCUGUGGCGAAGGCGUCUUACCAGAACGGUUCGACGGUGAGGGGCGAAAGCUGGGGGCACGAACCGGAUUAGAUACCCGGGUAGUCCCAGCCGUAAACGAUGCUCGCUAGGUGUCAGG
RNAcentral lists this ribosomal RNA (422 nucleotides) under uncultured archaeon. RNAcentral describes it as "bacterial SSU rRNA". It matches the Rfam family "Archaeal small subunit ribosomal RNA", at positions 345 to 778 of the family's 1478-position model. The record is from RNAcentral.